This 460-nucleotide ribosomal RNA is filed under the name uncultured bacterium. RNAcentral describes it as "partial 16S ribosomal RNA". It matches the Rfam family "Bacterial small subunit ribosomal RNA", at positions 338 to 795 of the family's 1533-position model. The record is from RNAcentral.
CCUACGGGAGGCAGCAGUGAGGAAUAUUGGUCAAUGGGCGCGAGACUGAACCAGCCAAGCCGCGUGAAGGAUGACUGUCCUAAGGGUCGUAAACCUCUUUUAUCAGGGAACAAAGGGUGGCACGCGUGCCCUUUUGAAUGUACCUUAAGAAAAAGCAUCGGCUAACUCCGUGCCAGCAGCCGCGGUAAUACGGAGGAUGCGAGCGUUAUCCGGAUUUAUUGGGUUUAAAGGGAGCGCAGACGGGUUGUUAAGCCAGUUGUGAAAGAUUGCGGCUCAACCCUAAGACUGCAGUUGAUACUGGCAGCCUUGAGUACAAGUGAGGUAGGCGGAAUGCGUGGUGUAGCGGUGAAAUGCAUAGAUAUCGCGAAGAACUCCGAUUGCGAAGGCAGCCUGCUGGACUGCCACUGACGUUGAUGCACGAAAGUGUGGGUAUCGAACAGGAUUAGAUACCCUUGUAGUC